This 360-nucleotide long non-coding RNA is filed under the name Callithrix jacchus (white-tufted-ear marmoset). RNAcentral's name for it is "lncRNA (ENSCJAG00000084376.1)". Lineage: Eukaryota; Metazoa; Chordata; Mammalia; Primates; Cebidae. The record is from RNAcentral.
AAAAUUGAUGCUAGUUUUAAUCCUAUGGCGAAUACAUUCUUAUCCUUCUCGGUGAGAGGGAUUGAAGAUAGUUCAAUGACGUAACCAAAAAACAGUGAGGGUCUCAUGCUCUAUGUGCACACAACCAAGUCUUCAUCAGAAUAAGAAGAACACAUAUAAAAUUAUUUAAGGAUCAAGACUCUGUCCAUGUGUUACUACAGCAUCUGAAAGAAAUUUACCAUGUCUAAUGGAAUCACCUGCUCUUCCUGAGUGGUCCUCAAGAUGGCGUGUCAGCCUCAUGGCCUUGGGACAUGCAAAUAUCAUCCAGCCAUCAUUGUGUAAGCACCUGUGCUGAAACUGGACCUGAGAAGGCCCUAUGAA